Molecule: signal recognition particle RNA, 95 nt
Filed under: Pseudomonadota bacterium
Lineage: Bacteria; Pseudomonadati; Pseudomonadota
Description: Proteobacteria bacterium (activated sludge metagenome) signal recognition particle sRNA small type
Rfam family: Bacterial small signal recognition particle RNA
About the family: The signal recognition particle (SRP) is a universally conserved ribonucleoprotein involved in the co-translational targeting of proteins to membranes. Archaeal SRP consists of a 7S RNA and homologues of the eukaryotic SRP19 and SRP54 proteins.
Source: RNAcentral
CGGAAGUCGGUGUGGACGGACCUGUCGCCAACCCGGUCAGGUUCGGAAGAAAGCAGCCGUAACGAAUUCGGUCCGGGUCGUGCCGGCUUCCACCU